AUUGAACGCUGGCGGCAGGCCUAACACAUGCAAGUCGAGCGGAUGAAGGGAGCUUGCUCCUGGAUUCAGCGGCGGACGGGUGAGUAAUGCCUAGGAAUCUGCCUGGUAGUGGGGGAUAACGUCCGGAAACGGGCGCUAAUACCGCAUACGUCCUGAGGGAGAAAGUGGGGGAUCUUCGGACCUCACGCUAUCAGAUGAGCCUAGGUCGGACUAGCUAGUUGGUGGGGUAAAGGCCUACCAAGGCGACGAUCCGUAACUGGUCUGAGAGGACGAUCAGUCACACUGGAACUGAGACACGGUCCAGACUCCUACGGGAGGCAGCAGUGGGGAAUAUUGGACAAUGGGCGAAAGCCUGAUCCAGCCAUGCCGCGUGUGUGAAGAAGGUCUUCGGAUUGUAAAGCACUUUAAGUUGGGAGGAAGGGCAGUAAGUUAAUACCUUGCUGUUUUGACGUUACCAACAGAAUAAGCACCGGCUAACUUCGUG
RNAcentral lists this ribosomal RNA (484 nucleotides) under uncultured bacterium. RNAcentral's name for it is "partial 16S ribosomal RNA". It matches the Rfam family "Bacterial small subunit ribosomal RNA", at positions 30 to 507 of the family's 1533-position model. The record is from RNAcentral.